CAUUAGAUGGCUGAAAGUAAGCUUUGAAAUUUUAAAUCAAAUAAUAGUAAUUUUACAUUUACUUCUAAUGA
RNAcentral lists this transfer RNA (71 nucleotides) under Spilopyra sumptuosa. RNAcentral describes it as "tRNA-Lys". The record is from RNAcentral. Lineage: Eukaryota; Metazoa; Arthropoda; Insecta; Coleoptera; Chrysomelidae.